UCCUGGUGACAGAGAAAGAAGCAAUAGGAGGAAGCAUAAGGAAAGGAAGAAUUAAGAAGACAACACUUACAAGACAGGAGACAACACUUGCAAGACAGGAGUAAGGGUGGCAUGAAAAGGUUUUGCACAGAAAAGAGAGGGCAAGUGAAGCAGUGCAAGCGUCUCUGAAAUCUGAAUUUGUAUACUGCAGUUAAGAGACACGACAUGACAUGAAGAGUGCAAUGCAAUGUCUAAAGUUAUUUGGCAAGGGAAAAGACAUUUGACAUAAAUUAAAAA
Taeniopygia guttata (zebra finch) is the source of this 276-nucleotide non-coding RNA. Lineage: Eukaryota; Metazoa; Chordata; Aves; Passeriformes; Estrildidae. The record is from RefSeq and is a predicted model, not a curated record.